Long non-coding RNA from Carassius auratus (goldfish), 681 nucleotides. RefSeq lists it as uncharacterized. The record is from RefSeq and is a predicted model, not a curated record. Lineage: Eukaryota; Metazoa; Chordata; Actinopteri; Cypriniformes; Cyprinidae. The transcript is spliced from 3 exons.
CCAAUGGCACUUUUAUGGAUUUGUGCUCUCACGCUAAUUUGCCCUGUUUAGUAAAUCUGGCCCUAAGUUUAAUACAGUUUGUUGUGUGGAAUUGUGUCUUGACUAAGUUAUGCAAUUAAAUGCAAUUAAUGUAGUUAUACUAAGUUAUGCAUUUUUUUUUUUACUUUACAGUGAAGUUUAUGCAUUAGAUUCUGAAGAUGAGGAGGAUGUGGUGAUGUUGACCUCACCUGUUUAUUCUGACAAUGAAAUUGAUGAUGACGUUUCUGCUGCUGACAUCAUCAGAACAUUUCAGAGGGAAAAUCUAAAUUUGGAAGAAAGGGUGAUUGUAGUGGCCAGAAGGAGGAAAAUUCUUCAUAGUGCAUGUACUGCACUGAAAACUAGCUACUUUGCAUGGCACAAAUCCCCACAAAUUGAAUUUGUAGGUGAAAGUGCUGAUGACUAUGGGGGACCUAGCAGAGAAUUUUUCAGGCUUCUGAUGCAGGGUGUGCAGUCAUCAUUCGGAGUUUUUGAGGGGAAAACAGGCCAGAUGUUUUUCACGUAUGACCAAGUGGCUGUGGAAAAAAAGCGUUAUUACACAGCAGGAAAGCUCAUUUCUUGGUCUCUAAUGCACGGUGGACCUAGUUUCAAUGCACUAAAUACCACAUUGUACAAAUUAAUGUGUGGCAAGGCAGAUUCUGCCGA